This 363-nucleotide ribosomal RNA is filed under the name unidentified archaeon. RNAcentral describes it as "bacterial SSU rRNA". It matches the Rfam family "Archaeal small subunit ribosomal RNA", at positions 90 to 453 of the family's 1478-position model. The record is from RNAcentral.
UCAGUAACACGUAGUCAACAUGCCCAGGGGACGUGGAUAACUUCGGGAAACUGAGGAUAAACCGCGAUAGGUCAUUGAUUUCUGGAAUGGUUCAUGGCUGAAAUCUAUAUGGCCCCUGGAUUGGACUGCGGCCGAUCAGGCUGUUGGUGAGGUAAUGGCCCACCAAACCUGUAACCGGUACGGGCUCUGAGAGGAGGAGCCCGGAGAUGGGCACUGAGACAAGGGCCCAGGCCCUAUGGGGCGCAGCAGGCGCGAAAUCUCUGCAAUAGGCGAAAGCUUGACAGGGUUACUCUGAGUGAGUUCCCGUUAAAGGAGAUCUUUGGCACCUUUAAAAAUGGUGCAGAAUAAGGGGUGGGCAAGUCU